GAGCGCAACCUUGCCAAGGUUGAUGUCGAGAGUUCGAGUCUCUUCACUCGCUCCA
RNAcentral lists this transfer RNA (55 nucleotides) under Verrucomicrobiales bacterium. RNAcentral's name for it is "tRNA-Ser". It matches the Rfam family "tRNA", at positions 21 to 71 of the family's 71-position model. Rfam says of the family: Transfer RNA (tRNA) molecules are approximately 80 nucleotides in length. Their secondary structure includes four short double-helical elements and three loops (D, anti-codon, and T loops). Lineage: Bacteria; Pseudomonadati; Verrucomicrobiota; Verrucomicrobiia; Verrucomicrobiales. The record is from RNAcentral.